ACUGAGGAAGUAGAGAAGUCAAUGCGUCAUCAAGAUCAUCAACAACCUGGUGCUCAUGGAACUCUAUCAAAGCAUCAUUCUCUCUGAUCUGUUGAAGCAACUCCUCUCGUUCACGGAUCCAAGCACGCGAACGGUCUUCGUCUCUCAACUCCUCUACUCCUUGUCUAUGGAGGGUUGAAGGCCCAGCCACAACCAAAGGUGUGGGUCUUGGAUACUCAUAAGGCAUGAGGUACUCG
Molecule: long non-coding RNA, 236 nt
Filed under: Lathyrus oleraceus (garden pea)
Lineage: Eukaryota; Viridiplantae; Streptophyta; Magnoliopsida; Fabales; Fabaceae
Description: Pisum sativum (pea) long non-coding RNA (PSAT_LNC038737)
Source: RNAcentral